Molecule: long non-coding RNA, 649 nt
Filed under: Fukomys damarensis (Damara mole-rat)
Lineage: Eukaryota; Metazoa; Chordata; Mammalia; Rodentia; Bathyergidae
Description: lncRNA (ENSFDAG00000025133.1)
Source: RNAcentral
UAUCACUGUUAAGUAUAUAUUUAGAAUAUUUAUAUAUUUUUAUUUUUUAUUACAGAUUGUUUGUAGCUUGAAGGAAUUAAAUAAGUACAGGCAAUAUCUCACCAACUUAAAAUUAGACUUUGAAAGAAACUAUAUAAGAGAACAAAAAAUGCUUGCAAAACAACUACAGAAACUGGAGGAAAACAAUAUAGUCCCUGAGUGUGCUGAUGUUACACAGUUCCAGAAUUGGCUGUUUCAUGAGGGCACCCAAUCUGUAACGGACCAGGAGCGGUUAAUAAGGCACAGGUAAUACUCAGGUCAAUGUGUACUUCAUAUGUAUGUAGUAAACUAGGAUAACCUGGAACAUGUUGGAAAGGACCAAGUAAGGAAAUUUCUCUGUACCCCUUAAAGUGGAGAGAAUGAAGGGAGACCAAGGGGGACAGGAAUUGGGAAACUUGGUGUCUAUCGGGAAAGGGUAGGGGGACAUUACCAGAGACCCCUGCAGUGGUCCUGGUCUUCUGCAAACCACUAUGAUGUCCUCGGAAUAAGAAAGUGGGACAGAGACUUAAGAGAAACUGAGUCUUGGGCCCAUCUAAGCUGCUCUGGGCAGCAAAAACAGAGGACUCCCAGGACAUCCAGUGUUUAUUCAUUACAAGCCUGGGAAGCGGGG